Molecule: ribosomal RNA, 407 nt
Filed under: uncultured bacterium
Lineage: Bacteria
Description: partial 16S ribosomal RNA
Rfam family: Bacterial small subunit ribosomal RNA
Source: RNAcentral
GAUGAACGCUAGCGAUAGGCUUAACACAUGCAAGUCGAGGGCCCGGCGCACGGGUGCGUAACGCGUAUGCAACUUGCCUACCAGAGGGGGAUAACCCGUCGAAAGACGGACUAAUACCGAGUACUUUGAGAUAGGCAUGCGUCCGAUUAGCUAGUUGGUGAGGUAAAGGCUAACAAAGGAAACGAUGCGUAGGGGAACUGAUAGGGUGAACCCCCGCACCUGUACUGAGACCCAGACCCGACCCCUACGCGGGAGAGCGGUGAGUAAUAUAGGUCGAUCGGCGAUAGUCUGAACCAGCCACGUGUCGUGAAGGAGGCCUGUGUUUGAAAGGUAAACUAGUUUUGUAGAAGAAUAUGUACCCUACGAAUAAGCAUCGGCUAACUCCGUGCCAGCAGCCGCGGUAAUAC